This 492-nucleotide ribosomal RNA is filed under the name uncultured bacterium. RNAcentral's name for it is "partial 16S ribosomal RNA". It matches the Rfam family "Bacterial small subunit ribosomal RNA", at positions 29 to 507 of the family's 1533-position model. The record is from RNAcentral.
AGUGAACGCUGGCGGUAGGCCUAACACAUGCAAGUCGAACGGCAGCACAGUAAGAGCUUGCUCUUACGGGUGGCGAGUGGCGGACGGGUGAGGAAUACAUCGGAAUCUACUUUUUCGUGGGGGAUAACGUAGGGAAACUUACGCUAAUACCGCAUACGACCUACGGGUGAAAGCAGGGGAUCUUCGGACCUUGCGCGAUUGAAUGAGCCGAUGUCGGAUUAGCUAGUUGGCGGGGUAAAGGCCCACCAAGGCGACGAUCCGUAGCUGGUCUGAGAGGAUGAUCGGCCACCCUGGAACUGAGACACGGUCCAGACUCCUACGGGGGGCAGCAGUGGGGAAUAUUGGACAAUGGGCGCGAGCCUGAUCCAGCCAUACCGCGUGGGUGAAGAAGGCCUUCGGGUUGUAAAGCCCUUUUGUUGGGAAAGAAAAGCAGCAGGUUAAUACCCCGCUGUUCUGACGGUACCCAAAGAAUAAGCACCGGCUAACUUCGUG